UGGGGAAUAUUGCACAAUGGGCGCAAGCCUGAUGCAGCCACGCCGCGUGUAUGAAGAAGGCCUUCGGGUUGUAAAGUACUUUCAGCGAGGAGGAAGGCGUUGUGGUUAAUAACCGCAGCGAUUGACGUUACUCGCAGAAGAAGCACCGGCUAACUCCGUGCCAGCAGCCGCGGUAAUACGGAGGGUGCAAGCGUUAAUCGGAAUUACUGGGCGUAAAGCGCACGCAGGCGGUCUGUCAAGUCGGAUGUGAAAUCCCCGGGCUCAACCUGGGAACUGCAUCCGAAACUGGCAGGCUAGAGUCUUGUAGAGGGGGGUAGAAUUCCAGGUGUAGCGGUGAAAUGCGUAGAGAUCUGGAGGAAUACCGGUGGCGAAGGCGGCCCCCUGGACAAAGACUAACGCUCAGGUGCGAAAGCGUGGGGAGCAAACA
This 427-nucleotide ribosomal RNA is filed under the name uncultured bacterium. RNAcentral describes it as "partial 16S ribosomal RNA". It matches the Rfam family "Bacterial small subunit ribosomal RNA", at positions 355 to 774 of the family's 1533-position model. The record is from RNAcentral.